This 480-nucleotide ribosomal RNA is filed under the name uncultured bacterium. Its description in RNAcentral is "partial 16S ribosomal RNA". It matches the Rfam family "Bacterial small subunit ribosomal RNA", at positions 28 to 507 of the family's 1533-position model. The record is from RNAcentral.
GAUGAACGCUGGCGGCGUGCUUAACACAUGCAAGUCGAACGGAACUACUCCAAUGAGAGUCUUCGGAAAGGAUUUGGUUUAGUUUAGUGGCGGACGGGUGAGUAACGCGUGGGUAACCUGCCCUAUACAGGGGGAUAACAGUUGGAAACGACUGUUAAUACCGCAUAAGCGCACAGGAGCGCAAGCUCCGGUGUGAAAAACUCCGGUGGUAUAGGAUGGACCCGCGUCUGAUUAGCUGGUUGGCGGGGUAACGGCCCACCAAGGCGACGAUCAGUAGCCGGCCUGAGAGGGUGAACGGCCACAUUGGGACUGAGACACGGCCCAAACUCCUACGGGAGGCAGCAGUGGGGAAUAUUGCACAAUGGGGGAAACCCUGAUGCAGCGACGCCGCGUGAGCGAAGAAGUAUCUCGGUAUGUAAAGCUCUAUCAGCAGGGAAGAAAAUGACGGUACCUGACUAAGAAGCCCCGGCUAACUACGUG